UCAGCCUAAGGGCAAACUUGUUAAAAGGCAGGGACGCAAAGCCAUCGGAUCUAAAGCGCUUAUGAGUACUAUGACAGCCUGGCUGCCGCA
RNAcentral lists this non-coding RNA (90 nucleotides) under Desulfosporosinus sp. Its description in RNAcentral is "c-di-GMP sequence". It matches the Rfam family "c-di-GMP-I riboswitch aptamer". From Rfam's summary of the family: GEMM was predicted in a large-scale screen for bacterial structured RNA regulatory elements. The record is from RNAcentral. Lineage: Bacteria; Bacillati; Bacillota; Clostridia; Eubacteriales; Desulfitobacteriaceae.